AUUGAACGCUGGCGGCAGGCUUAACACAUGCAAGUCGAACGAGUGGCGGACGGGUGAGUAAUGCAUGGGAAUCUGGCUUAUGGAGGGGGAUAACGACUGGAAACUGUCGCUAAUACCGCGUACCAUAGGAUGAGCCCAUAUGGGAUUAGGUAGUGGGUGGGGGAAUGGCCUACCAAGCCGACGAUCUCUAUCUGGUCUGAGAGGAUGACCGUCCAAACUGGGACUGGGACCUGGCCCGGACGCCUACGGGAGGCAGCAGUGGGGAAUAUUGCGCAAUGGGGGCAACCUGACGCAGCCAUGCCGCGUGAAUGAAGAAGGCCUUCGGGUUGUAAAGUUCUUUCGGUGACGAGGCGUUAAUCACAGAAGAAGCACCGGCUAACUCCGUGCCAGCAGCCGCGGUAAUUC
This 405-nucleotide ribosomal RNA is filed under the name uncultured bacterium. RNAcentral's name for it is "partial 16S ribosomal RNA". It matches the Rfam family "Bacterial small subunit ribosomal RNA", at positions 30 to 526 of the family's 1533-position model. The record is from RNAcentral.